CGCAACGCCGCGUGGAGGAUGAAGGUCCUUGGAUUGUAAACUCCUGUCAGCGGGGAAAAAGCGACCUGGCCUAAUACGCCGGGGAGUUGAUUGUACCCGCAGAGGAAGCCCCGGCUAACUCUGUGCCAGCAGCCGCGGUAAUACAGAGGGGGCAAGCGUUAUUCGGAAUUAUGGGCGUAAAGGGCGCGUAGGCGGCCUUUCAAGUGACGGGUGAAAUCCCUCGGCUUAACCGAGGAACUGCCUGUCAGACUGGAAGGCUUGAGACCGGGAGAGGUGAGUGGAAUUCCCAGUGUAGCGGUGAAAUGCGUAGAUAUUGGGAGGAACACCAGUGGCGAAGGCGGCUCACUGGACCGGUACUGACGCUGAGGCGCGAAAGCGUGGGGAGCAAACAGGAUUAGAUACCCUGGUAGUCCACGCCGUAAACGAUGAGUGCUUGGUGUAGCGGGUAUCGACCCCUGCUGUGCCGAAGUCAACACAUUAAGCACCCCGCCUGGGGAGUACGGUCGCAAGACUG
RNAcentral lists this ribosomal RNA (514 nucleotides) under uncultured Acidobacteriota bacterium. RNAcentral describes it as "bacterial SSU rRNA". It matches the Rfam family "Bacterial small subunit ribosomal RNA", at positions 390 to 896 of the family's 1533-position model. Lineage: Bacteria; Pseudomonadati; Acidobacteriota. The record is from RNAcentral.